This 403-nucleotide ribosomal RNA is filed under the name uncultured bacterium. RNAcentral's name for it is "bacterial SSU rRNA". It matches the Rfam family "Bacterial small subunit ribosomal RNA", at positions 355 to 775 of the family's 1533-position model. The record is from RNAcentral.
CAAGGAAUCUUCCGCAAUGGGCGCAAGCCUGACGGAGCAACGCCGCGUGGAGGACGACGGCUUUCGGGUUGUAAACUCCUUUUCCCAGGGACGAAACGGACGGUACCUGGGGAAUCAGCCCCGGCUAACUCUGUGCCAGCAGCCGCGGUAAGACAGAGGGGGCAAGCGUUGUCCGGAUUUACUGGGCGUACAGCGCGCGCAGGCGGUCGUGUAGGUACCUGGUGACAGUCUCGGGCUCAACUCGAGGGGGUCUGGGUAGACCGCACGACUGGAGGCAGGGAGAGGGAUGUGGAAUACCCGGUGGAGCGGUGAAAUGCGUAGAGAUCGGGUGGAACACCAGUGGCGAAGGCGGCAUCCUGGCCCUGACCUGACGCUGAGGCGCGAGAGCGUGGGGAGCAAACGG